Long non-coding RNA from Acanthaster planci (crown-of-thorns starfish), 358 nucleotides. Lineage: Eukaryota; Metazoa; Echinodermata; Asteroidea; Valvatida; Acanthasteridae. The record is from RefSeq and is a predicted model, not a curated record.
UACGGUGGAAAGUCAUACGGGUAGCGAAAAAUAGCUAGGCUUACGGUUACCUAAUAGUAUGCGAUAUUGCAACUAUGAACUGGGGCCUAAAUUCGUCGUCUACACUCUUAUGUCCGUAGCCUUUUGCCAUUGACAGUCUCGUGCCAUCAACAAACAAGCACAAUGCGGUGACAGUUCAGCAAUUUUGUGCAAAGGAUUGAACGACUUCAUAAAGUCGUAUACGUAAUGGUGACGCUGGCCCGGCUCGUGUUGCCGUGCUGUUAUCUGCUCAAGAAAUGGUAACAUCAGCCUGUUUCAUGUCUGUCGCUCUCCGGGCAGACACCAUGAGGAAGCAUACAGUGCUGUUGGCCAACGGGGC